Molecule: long non-coding RNA, 155 nt
Organism: Prionailurus viverrinus (fishing cat)
Lineage: Eukaryota; Metazoa; Chordata; Mammalia; Carnivora; Felidae
Exons: 3
Source: RefSeq, a predicted model, not a curated record
AGUCUCAGGUGUUCCCAUUCUCUGAUCAGGACAGAACAGACACCUCACCAUGGAGUUUGUGCUUGGCUGGGUGUUCCUGGUUGCUCUUUUAAAAGGUGUCCAGUGUGACGUGCAGCUGGUGGAGUCUGGAGGAGACCUGGUGAAGCCUGGUGCCA